Molecule: ribosomal RNA, 920 nt
Filed under: uncultured bacterium
Lineage: Bacteria
Description: bacterial SSU rRNA
Rfam family: Bacterial small subunit ribosomal RNA
Source: RNAcentral
AGAGUUUGAUCCUGGCUCAGAGUGAACGCUGGCGGCAGGCCUAAUACAUGCAAGUCGAACGGCAGCACAGUGGAGCUUGCUCCAUGGGUGGCGAGUGGCGGACGGGUGAGGAAUACAUGGGAAUCUGCCCAGUCGUGGGGGAUAACGUAUGGAAACGUACGCUAAUACCGCAUGCGCCCUUUGGGGGAAAGUCGGGGACCGCAAGGCCUGACGCGAUUGGAUGAGCCCAUGUUCGAUUAGCUAGUUGGCGGGGUAACGGCCCACCAAGGCGACGAUCGAUAGCUGGUCUGAGAGGAUGAUCAGCCACACUGGAACUGAGACACGGUCCAGACUCCUACGGGAGGCAGCAGUAGGGAAUAUUGGACAAUGGGCGCAAGCCUGAUCCAGCCAUGCCGCGUGAGUGAAGAAGGCCCUCGGGUUGUAAAGCUCUUUUGUUGGGGAAGAAAAGCAGUUGGUUAAUACCCGAUUGUUCUGACGGUACCCAAAGAAUAAGCACCGGCUAACUUCGUGCCAGCAGCCGCGGUAAUACGAAGGGUGCAAGCGUUACUCGGAAUUACUGGGCGUAAAGCGUGCGUAGGUGGUUGUUUAAGUCUGAUGUGAAAGCCCUGGGCUCAACCUGGGAAUGGCAUUGGAUACUGGAUAGCUAGAGUGCGGUAGAGGGUAGUGGAAUUCCCGGUGUAGCAGUGAAAUGCGUAGAGAUCGGGAGGAACAUCCGUGGCGAAGGCGACUACCUGGGCCAGCACUGACACUGAGGCACGAAAGCGUGGGGAGCAAACAGGAUUAGAUACCCUGGUAGUCCACGCCCUAAACGAUGCGAACUGGAUGUUGGGCUCAACUUGGAGCUCAGUAUCGAAGCUAACGCGUUAAGUUCGCCGCCUGGGGAGUACGGUCCCAAGACUGAAACUCAAAGGAAUUGACGG